Molecule: ribosomal RNA, 472 nt
Filed under: uncultured Magnetococcus sp.
Lineage: Bacteria; Pseudomonadati; Pseudomonadota; Magnetococcia; Magnetococcales; Magnetococcaceae
Description: bacterial SSU rRNA
Rfam family: Bacterial small subunit ribosomal RNA
Source: RNAcentral
UUCGGGCGCCGGCGAGUGGCGAACGGGUGAGUAACACGUGGAGACCUAUCCAUUGGUGGGGGACAACAGCUGGAAACGGCUGCUAAUACCGCAUAAUCCCUACGGGGGAAAGAUUUAUCGCCAUAGGAGGGUUCCGCGUCGGAUUAGCUAGUUGGUGGGGUAACGGCCUACCAAGGCGACGAUCCGUAGCUGGUCUGAGAGGAUGAUCAGCCACACUGGGACUGAGACACGGCCCAGGCUCCUACGGGAGGCAGCAGUGGGGAAUAUUGCGCAAUGGAGGAAACUCUGACGCAGCGACGCCGCGUGGGUGAAGAAGGCCUUAGGGUUGUAAAGCCCCUUCAGUGGGAAAGAUGAUGACGGUACCCACAGAAGAAGCCCCGGCUAACUCCGUGCCAGCAGCCGCGGUAAUACGGAGGGGGCCAGCGUUGUUUGGAAUUACUGGGCGUAAAGGGCGCGUAGGCGGUUGAUCAAG